Molecule: long non-coding RNA, 772 nt
Organism: Dendrobium catenatum
Lineage: Eukaryota; Viridiplantae; Streptophyta; Magnoliopsida; Asparagales; Orchidaceae
Exons: 4
Source: RefSeq, a predicted model, not a curated record
UUUUGCUUUAAAAUUGCCUAUGCUAGUCCUAUUUAUGAUGAAGAAGUUCUCACCCCUUUAUGCUAUAUCUAUAUAUAUAUUAUUUAUGAAGGAAGGGAAUGGCAGGAAUUACCAGACCUCCCUCCCUACUUGAAAUCUCUAUCAAUACUCUACUGCCAUCCAGACUUGUAGGAGCGCUACCGAAAGUUUGUCGGUUCUGAUUGGCAAAGUUUCAGCCAGAGCUGUGGUUGGCAGAGGAAGCAAAACAUGGUGAUGAUCUAAGCAUCAACAUCUUGUUCAAGAUUAAUGACCAACAUGCAAUACGUAGGCAGGAAAGAGAUGAAGGGAAAUAAUGAAUACAGAUCGAGGUGCCUUCAAUGCCGUUGAAGUUAAAAUAUUGAUGAUUCCCCUCCUACGGUGUCGAUUAUGGAGCAUAAAGAACAACUGAACAGAAACAUGGAGAAAAGAUCUGUAGGCUUUGUCCAGCGAGCUUUCACUGGUCAACAAUGACAGAUUUAAUGGUUACAUCCGACAACACCAAGAUGCUACUGAAAUACUCAAAAUGGAAAUCAAUAAUACUUUAGUUGUUCUCAUGGAUUUGGCUAACAUUUGUAAGUAUCGACAGCUUGCCGAGCAAGAAGAUGGAAAUUAUUCAGUUAAAGUUUAAUUAAUGUCCUAUGAAGAAACAUAGAGGGGGAGAUUAUUACAUGUAGAGUUCGGACAGGAGAAUUGUCUGGAUCCCAUUGAGUGUUGAUGAUUGGAAUUAAGUCCUAACUUUAGGCUUGUUUUGGUA